UACGGGAGAUGCAAGCGUUAUCCGGAAUUAUUGGGCGUAAAGAGUUUGUAGGUGGUCUAGUGUGUUUAAUGUUAAAAAUUAAAGCUUAACUUUAACACUGCAUUAAAAACUACUAGGCUGGAGUAUGGUAGGGAGGCAGGGAAUUUCCAGUGUAGCGGUGAAAUGCGUAGAGAUUGGAAAGACUACCAAAAGCGAAGGCACUGUCUUGGGCCUAUACUGACACUGAGAAACGAAAGCUGAGGGAGCAAACAGG
This 253-nucleotide ribosomal RNA is filed under the name uncultured bacterium. Its description in RNAcentral is "partial 16S ribosomal RNA". It matches the Rfam family "Bacterial small subunit ribosomal RNA", at positions 524 to 776 of the family's 1533-position model. The record is from RNAcentral.